UCAAUUCGAUUUAUAAAUAUUGAUGGUCAUUUGAACGAAACCAUACCGAAUUUUUUUGUAAACCAUUUGUUAUCUAUAUAUACAUUUUUGGAGGGGAUUUUUGAAGAUAAUGUUGAAGAUUUGAGCCAUAAUUCAACAAUUAAUUUAACUGGGUGGGUUUUACCCUGUUCGGUUUAACUCUGUUCGGAUCCUGGAUAACAUGUUUAAUUCUGUUCUGAUCUUGGAUAACAUUAACUUUUGGAAAAGUUACCUAACAACUAAUAAUUAAAAACGAAAAUUAAUGAUUUAAUUACCAAAUUUAAUAUAAACAAUAUCUCUAAACUAACCAUAUUUGUUAUUUACCUUAACUAAUUUCCUAAAAUA
RNAcentral lists this small RNA (363 nucleotides) under Arabidopsis thaliana (thale cress). Its description in RNAcentral is "ATSL278830". The record is from RNAcentral. Lineage: Eukaryota; Viridiplantae; Streptophyta; Magnoliopsida; Brassicales; Brassicaceae.